GGCUUGUUUCAGAUGCUAUUUCAGAAAAAGUGGAUUCUUUAAGGAAAGGAAAGAGUGAGGUGAUUGAAAGUAAUCACAUUCUUGUUCUUGGAUGGAGUGAUAAAUUGGGGUCACUUUUGAAGCAGUUAGCGAUAGCAAACAAGAGCAUUGGUGGUGGUGUUGUCGUUGUUCUUGCGGAAAGAGACAAGGAGGAGAUGGAGCUGGACAUAGCAAAGUUAGAAUUUGAUUUCAUGGGAACUUCAGUUAUCUGCAGAAGUGGCAGUCCACUGAUACUUGCUGAUCUAAAAAAGGUGUGACUUGUGAGUGUAUCUUUUUU
This 316-nucleotide unclassified non-coding RNA is filed under the name Hevea brasiliensis (rubber tree). Lineage: Eukaryota; Viridiplantae; Streptophyta; Magnoliopsida; Malpighiales; Euphorbiaceae. The record is from RNAcentral.